GGCGCACUUGGAAAACUCCGGCGUCUCUCUCCUCCGCAGAAACUGGCAGGUCGUUGCCGUCCUGCCCCAGCCUGUCCUCCUGUUCUCCUUGUCCCGCAGUCUGAACUCCAGUAGUUCUGCUAGUGUAUGUGUGUCGCUGCAGGCUGGACUUAUGGCCUCGCCGUUGAGGUUCGACGGGCGGGUGGUACUGGUCACCGGCGCGGGGGGAGGAUUGGGCCGAGCCUAUGCCCUGGCUUUUGCAGAAAGAGGUGCAUCAGUUGUUGUGAAUGAUCUAGGAGGGGACUUCAUGGGAGUUGGUAAAGGCUCCUUAGCUGCUGAUAAGGUUGUUGAAGAAAUAAGAAGGAAAGGCGGAAAAGCAGUGGCCAACUAUGAUUCAGUGGAAGCAGGAGAGAAGGUUGUGAAGACAGCACUGGAUGCUUUUGGAAGAAUAGAUGUUGUGAUCAACAAUGCUGGAAUUUUGAGGGACCGUUCCUUUGGUAGAAUAAGUGAUGAAGACUGGGAUAUCAUCCAGAGAGUUCAUUUGCGGGGCUCAUUCCUGGUGACCCGGGCAGCGUGGGAUCACAUGAAGAAACAGAAAUUUGGAAGGAUCAUCAUGACUUCAUCGGCUUCAGGAAUAUAUGGCAACUUUGGCCAGGCAAAUUAUUGUGCUGCAAAGCUGGGUCUUCUGGGCCUUUCAAAUUGUCUUGCGGUUGAAGGCGAGAAAAGCAACAUUCAUUGUAACACUAUUGCCCCUACUGCUGGAUCACGGUUGACCCAGAACAUUUUGCCUGAUGAUCUUCUGGAAGCUCUGAAGCCAGAUUACGUGGCACCCCUGGUCCUUUGGCUUUGCCAUGAGAGUUGUGAGGAAAAUGGUGGCUUGUUUGAGGUUGGAGCAGGAUGGAUUGGAAAAUUACGAUGGGAGCGGACCCUUGGAGCCAUUGUAAGACAGAGGACUCAGCCAAUGACUCCUGAGGCGGUGAAGGCUAACUGGACGAAGAUCUGUGACUUUGAUAAUGCCACCAAGCCUCAGAGAAUUCAAGAAUCAAUUGGCGGUAUAAUUGAAGCUCUAAAUAAAAUAGAUUCAGAUGGAGGAGUUUCGGCAAAUCAUACCAGUAAUGUGACAUCAACAGCUACAUCAGGAUUUGCUGGAGCUAUUGGCCAUAAACUUCCUCCAUUUUCUUCUUCUUAUACGGAACUGGACACUAUUAUGUAUGCCCUUGGAGUGGGAGCAUCUAUCAAGGAACCGAAAGAUUUGAAAUUUAUUUAUGAAGGGAGUUCUGAUUUCUCCUGUUUGCCUACCUUUGGAGUUAUUCUAGCUCAGAAAUCUAUAAUGGGUGGAGGAUUAGCAGAGAUUCCUGGGCUCUCAGUCAACUUGGCAAAGGUUCUUCAUGGGGAGCAGUACUUGGAGUUAUAUAAACCACUUCCCAGAGCAGGAAAAUUAAAAUGUGAAGCAAUUGUUGCUGACGUCCUGGAUAAAGGAUCCGGUUUAAUAAUUCUUAUGGAUGUCUACUCUUAUUCUGGGGAGGAACUUAUAUGUUAUAAUCAGUUCUCCAUCUUUGUUGUUGGCGCUGGAGGCUUUGGUGGAAAACGGACGUCAGACAAAGCUAAGGUAGCUGUAGCCAUACCUAAUAGACCUCCUGAUGCUGUACUUACAGAUACCACCUCACUUAAUCAGGCUGCUUUGUACCGCCUAAGUGGAGACUGGAAUCCCUUACACAUUGAUCCUGACUUUGCUAACUUAGCAGGUUUUGACAAGCCCAUAUUACAUGGAUUAUGUACAUUUGGAUUUUCUGCCAGGCAUGUUUUACAGCAGUUUGCAGAUAAUGACGUGUCAAGAUUCAAAGCAAUUAAGGUUCGUUUUGCAAAACCAGUAUAUCCAGGACAAACUCUACAAACUGAGAUGUGGAAGGAAGGAAAUAGAAUCCAUUUCCAAACCAAGAUCCAAGGAACUGGAGACAUCGUCAUUUCAAAUGCAUAUGUGGAUCUUGUGCCAACAGCUGAUGUUGUAGCUAAGACACCAUCUGAGGGUAGGGAGCUUCAGAGUACCCUUGUGUUUGAGGAAAUAGGUCGCCGCCUUCAGCAUAUAGGGGGAGAGGUGGUGAAGAAAGUAAAUGCUGUGUUUGAGUGGCAUAUCACUAAAGGUGAAAAUACUGCAGCUAAGUGGACUAUUGACCUAAAAAAUGGUUCUGGAAAAGUGUAUCAAGGCACUGCAAAAGAUUCUGCUGAUGUAACCAUCACGCUUUCAGAUGAAGAUUUCAUGGAAGUAGUCUUGGGCAAGCUUGAUCCUCAGAAGGAACAGAUGAGUAGUUUGACAAUGCUACUAGCUAAUGAAAAGAAGAGAGCAUUACCUUAUUUAUAGACUUUGGGCAUUACUACCUAGCAGCUUAAAUGUGAAAGCUGAGAAGGCUGUGGCUAAUGUGAACUUAACAAAAGCUGCCCAGUUAUGCUUACAACCUCACUAAUGAGUUGAGGUCAACAUUUCCGAGGUUACUUUUGCCAGAAGGAUUCUAAGACAGUCUUGGUUGACCACUGGGGUGCUACGAUGGCGACAUCAUUUUGGAUAUUUUAACAACUGAGUUUUCCUCUCUGACUCUGUUACAUGGAGACUGGGCUGCACAAGUGAAACAGGUGUGUCUCCUGAUUAACCCUCUUCUGGAGAUCUCACGUCUAUGGAUGCAGCCUGGGAGAGCACGAGGGGUUUCUGAAGCCAUGUCACCCUGAUGACUCAGGUGACCACUGAACCUUAAAGGAGAAACAAACAUAGUGCCCUAGGGCCUAGGGCUGACCUCAAUAUUCAUAAACCAGGACAGGACAAUCAUCUUCUCUUGACAGAUGAGGAAGAUGGGGUUCUAACAGGCUAAGGAAAACUGCCCACAGUCACAGAACAAAAAGUGGUGGAUUCCCAGUCCCUGAAGGUCCUAGGACAUGUGCCAAGUAAUUACUUGGUGGAGCCAUGGCAGAGGAAAUUCAAAGGGAUUCUCCAAGAAGCAGGAAGAUUGAAUCUCAUCAGCAAACCCUCACAAGGCUGAAGUUGUCCUCUCUUCACUCUCCCGCUGCCUGAAACCUUAAGUCAUUCUGCAGUGCCCUUUCAAAUUGGGACCCGCCUCAGUCCAUGUGGUAUUUCUAAUGAAAGCAGUGACUUCUGGGAGUCUACCUCAUCCCGUGCACCAAUCCUCCCACUGGAUCCUGGCCACUACCUCAAAAUGAGGUGUCUCUAAUUCUAGAGUGGAAUCAGGAGGAUCCAGAUGCAUUGCCACUUAUAGCUGGUAUAAAUUACAGCCCACAAGCAGAGGUGUGCAAGAAAUAGUACGAAAAAUUUUUUUAUAACUCCACGUAAUUUGUAUUUUAAGCCUUGAUCCUGCUGGUGUCCUGUUUGGAUUUCCGCCAUCCCUAUUUGGAAGUCAUACAGGGCCAAGGUUUUGAGGGAGUGGGUGGAAGCAUGAUCAUUGUUGACUGGAGCCCACAGUUGUAAGUGUAGAUGCCCAUCAGCUCGGGGGCCAUGCCUCCUUUAGGUUUGGUGGCUCCUGUGCCAUGCGUGGGACAGGUUGCCAUGAUUCUGCUUGUAUGCACACUAUAGCCAUCUCCUUUUAGAAUUUUUGCUCCAUUUACCCCUCCAGCCACACUAGAGAGGGCUUUUCUCCUCCAGGAUUUACAGACAUCUCUCUCUGACUUAAUUAGCACAUUUCAACACUCCAGUAGGGAAACAAGACAGUACCUAAUUUCAAAAACCUGCUUCUGUUAUGUUUCUGCUCAAGUAUCCUCUCUUUUCCAUGGAGUUUGCGAUUUU
Balaenoptera musculus (blue whale) is the source of this 3766-nucleotide RNA transcript. It is a transcript of the gene named hydroxysteroid 17-beta dehydrogenase 4, with no coding region annotated. The record is from RefSeq and is a predicted model, not a curated record. The transcript is spliced from 30 exons. NCBI's taxonomy places the organism in Eukaryota, Metazoa, Chordata, Mammalia, Artiodactyla, Balaenopteridae.